RNAcentral lists this long non-coding RNA (692 nucleotides) under Meleagris gallopavo (turkey). Its description in RNAcentral is "lncRNA (ENSMGAG00000021256.1)". Lineage: Eukaryota; Metazoa; Chordata; Aves; Galliformes; Phasianidae. The record is from RNAcentral.
CAUUCACGCCCAAAGUCUUACCGUGACGUGCUGUGGGGAGAAAGUCCUUGUGUGCAAAUGUGAGUGCCAGCUGCUAACACUUUGUCUCAGCAAAAAGAGAGCCACUUGUGAACAAGCAGAACGGACGAGCCAAAAGAAAGUACGUCUUGUGGAUGUGGAUAGCGUGACUCAAAGCUGACCUAGCGGGAAGCAGAGAUUAGAGAUUUGGCACCAGCUCUGUUAGAAGUGAAGGUGUGACUCACAGAAGCUUGGGGAUUCACACCAUCUUUGCAGAACUGCUGCGAGGGCUGGGCACUGAGGGCCUCUGCGCUGGCCACGUCUGGGACCAGUUUCCCUCUGAAGUUAAGGGAACCUUUCCAUUCUAAAACUGUAUCUGCAGUACAUGUUAUCAUCGUAUUGAAAACACGCUCUGUGAGGAUGCAUAAGCAAUUCACCUUGAUGAUAAACUGGUUUUCAAAUUUGAAGUCAUCGUUACAACAGAAAAUGGAGGUGAAGAGCUCAUGAAAAUGCAGAAGGCAGGGAAGACAAGGCAGUGCAGGUUGGUGGCUCACAAUGCAGCUUGAGUUGUUCCUUUAUAGUUUACUGAUUUAAUUGCAACAAAGAUUAAUAGUCUCAGGGUUACUGACAGUGUCCUGUUUUAAAAGCUUCCAUAUAACCUUGUGAAUUGAAAUGAUGAUUUUUUCUUUCCCGAA